This 304-nucleotide long non-coding RNA is filed under the name Homo sapiens (human). RNAcentral's name for it is "HSALNT0176190". The record is from RNAcentral. Lineage: Eukaryota; Metazoa; Chordata; Mammalia; Primates; Hominidae.
CAAUAUUAACAUCAGGGCCUUCAAUGUCCACCUUGGGUCCUGAGAUGUCAACGUCAGCCUUAGGCAAGCUCACAUCUGGGACUUCAACAUCCACCUUGGGUCCUGAGACAUCAACGUCAGCCUUGGGCAAGUUCACAUCCACUUCUGGGCCCUCUCCUUUGAAGCCAGGCAUGCUGAACUUGGGCAUUUUCAUCUUAGGCAUCUUCAGGUGCCAGUCUGGGCCUUGAACCUCCACAUCUGGGACAUCAAUGUCCAUUUUGGCACUUUUAAGUUCAACAUCAGGAACUUUAAUCUCACUUUCAAC